GAAUGAAAAUAAAAGUCUCCACCCAUAUUGCAAAAAUUUAAGCUAGAUCAUUUGUACUUAUAUUCCUUUCUAUGUAUACAUAGAAACAUUCUAUUGGACCUUUUUGUGGAAAAUGUCAUUUGCAUUCACUUCUUCUGUUGCUAAAUUCUACAUGUUCCUCUGUCUUGUUCUUCUCCUUAUUUCCUCAUGUGUACCGGAAGCAAAACUUUGUGGAAGGCCAAGUAGAACAUAUUUAGGUCCUUGUACUGACUGGGACUGUGAUAAAGAGUGCAUUGAUUCGGAGUUGGAUGCAAUGUUAGGUUCUUGUGAAGGCUCUUAUUGCUUCUGCUUCUUCAAUUGUUAGGUUUUAGAUCAAGAAAUUAACCACCAGUGAUUUGCAUGCGACAGUGAAUGCAGGCCUCGACGAGUUUAUGCUGCUCUGCGCCUUUCUUCUGAAGACGAGACAACUCUGCACCUGGUUUCUGGUUGUUUAUGGGGUCUGUUUAGUUAUCUGAGGUGGUUGCGCACUGGUUUAGUAAUUCUGUUUUGCGCCUAGAGGUUGUUAGUAGCUAGAUUUUGCCUCUAAUGUUCCAUUUUUAGGGUCCAUUUGGAUUGAUUUAUUUUUGAGUUUAUUUCGAAAUAAUGUAUAUAAAUAAAUAAGUUUUUAUGUAUUAGUAUAAAUUUUUUAAGGUAGUUUAUGGAAAAACCAAUUUAUUAAGA
This is a long non-coding RNA of Trifolium pratense (red clover), 699 nucleotides long. RefSeq lists it as uncharacterized. NCBI's taxonomy places the organism in Eukaryota, Viridiplantae, Streptophyta, Magnoliopsida, Fabales, Fabaceae. The record is from RefSeq and is a predicted model, not a curated record. The transcript has 2 exons.